AGGAGCGUUGGAUUAGGUCUGGCUUCUUCCUCAGCUCGAAUUUUUGUCAUGGGAGUCCCGUUCCUGAGACUGCUGGCAUUAGAAUAUCCUUGGCUGCCAACCUUAAUACUGGGCGUCGGCUGUACCACCACAGCAAUCAUGCUUAUGAUUAUGUUGCCAGAAACGAAAAACAAAACAUUGCCCCAAACCACAGAAGAACUCCAUCAUAUGCAGCUUGAAAAGAAGGCAAAGCGCAGUAGUGUUAGUCCCUCAUUGGGCCAAACUUGAAACCCAGAUAAAACUGAAAGGAAAACACAACGAAAUGUAUAAUAUAAAACAGGAGCGGUUCAAAACAGUCAAUGAGCUUGCCACUCUACCUGUCGUAAUAUAAUCAUGGGUAAAAAAAGAAAGAUAUAACAGCGUCUGAAAAGUGAUGGCAUGUCCUCUUUGAACAUUUUGAAGCAGCUUAGCCGAGAUCAUCGAACAAUAAAAAAAAAAAUUAAAGAUAUAACAAAGAACAGGAAAUCAAAGUUUGGAAAGGGGUUCAAGAACUUGUCCACGGGAGAUAAACGUCAUCUGAAAAGCGUUGUCGCUAAAAACCCACUACUCAGUUGUGAUAAGAUAUUUAAUAUGACUGGGAUUGUUGGAGUAAAGAGAGAUAAAAGGUGUAGAGUCCUUCACGACAUUGGUGCUAUGAAAAAAUCUCCUCGCCAGCCUCCUUUAUUUCCAACUAAUAUCGAUAAACGUCUAAAGUAGGCAAAAAAAAGUACUUAAAAACAGAUUUCAGAAACGUUAUAUUCACUGACUAAUCGCGCAUCACAUUAGAUGGUCCAGAUGAUGGGCUAAAGGAUGGGUUCUGUCAGGCCAUGACGCUCCUAUGAUGAGAAGACAGCAACAAGGUGAUGGUGGUGUAAUGAUAUGGGCUGGUAUUGUUAAUAGAACCAUCACUGGGCCAUUUAAAGUUCACGAAGAUGUAAAAGUCAAUUAUUGUGAAUUCUUGGAUCAAACUUUUUCUUUGAAUGGUAGAAGCGUCAACCUCACAGUUUCAAGAUAAAAUGCAUGUUUAUGCAUGACAAUGCUUCUCACCUAACUCGUGAGUUUCUUGAGUGCAAACGACUUGCUGAAGACAAAAUAAUGGAGUGGCCACCAUCAAGCCUUGACUUGAACUCAGUAGAAAACCUCUGGUCAGGAGGCAAACAGUACAACAGUAAGGUAGAACUGUAGGAUACUAUACAAAGUAUUACAGCUGCAGUUUCACCAGAUCGAAUUGGAAAACUAAUAAAUUCAACGGACAACAGAUUAGUAACUUUGAUUGAAAAGAAAGGUCGUUAUAGCAACAUGUAAAUUGUUUCAACUAUAUAUUAAAACAUUGUUCUUUGAAUUAGUAAAAAGUUCAUAA
This is a long non-coding RNA of Octopus bimaculoides (California two-spot octopus), 1378 nucleotides long. The record is from RefSeq and is a predicted model, not a curated record. Lineage: Eukaryota; Metazoa; Mollusca; Cephalopoda; Octopoda; Octopodidae.